UCUGUGCUAAGGUAGCGAAGUCAUUAGUUCUUUUAUUGGGAACUUGUAUGAGUGGAUUUACUUAGAGAUAUUAGUGAAUAGCUUAAGUAUUGAAUUUUAUAUAUUAAUGAAAAAUUUAAUUUUUUACUAAAGACGAGAAGACCCUAAAAUCUUUAUUUACUGAUUAAAAAGUUAGUAGGUUUAUUUGGGGGAAAGUUUUUUGAUUAAUAAAUUUUUUUUUAGGAUGAACUUUUUUAGGCUGGAUGGAUAGAUACUUUAGGGAUAACAGGAUAAUCUGUUUAUAGAGUUCUUAUUUUUGAGUGGGUUUGUUACCUCGCUGUUGGCUUUUGAA
Molecule: ribosomal RNA, 331 nt
Filed under: Demodex sp. dog6E
Lineage: Eukaryota; Metazoa; Arthropoda; Arachnida; Trombidiformes; Demodicidae
Description: partial 16S ribosomal RNA
Source: RNAcentral